GCCCCGGUGGCUCAGCCUGGUAGACAAUCCAAACCCGGCCAAGAGCGUUGCCUUGGUAAGGCAAAGGUCACGAGUUCAAAUCUCGUCCGGGGCUCCA
Molecule: transfer RNA, 97 nt
Filed under: Candidatus Bathyarchaeota archaeon
Lineage: Archaea; Thermoproteati; Candidatus Bathyarchaeota
Description: tRNA-Thr
Rfam family: tRNA
About the family: Transfer RNA (tRNA) molecules are approximately 80 nucleotides in length. Their secondary structure includes four short double-helical elements and three loops (D, anti-codon, and T loops).
Source: RNAcentral